This 75-nucleotide non-coding RNA is filed under the name bacterium JGI 053. RNAcentral describes it as "c-di-GMP-I riboswitch aptamer". It matches the Rfam family "c-di-GMP-I riboswitch aptamer". From Rfam's summary of the family: GEMM was predicted in a large-scale screen for bacterial structured RNA regulatory elements. The record is from Rfam by way of RNAcentral.
UCCCGACAAAGGCACCCCGGUCGCGAGGCCGGUCCGCAAAGCUAGGGGUCUCCCGCAGACAGCCCGGUCGCCAAA